GGCUGGUCCGAUGGUAGUGGGUUAUCAGAACUUAUUAACAUUAGUGUCACUAAAGUGGGUAUUCAACCCCCCACUGCUAAAUAUGACUGGCUUUAA
RNAcentral lists this Y RNA (96 nucleotides) under Microcebus murinus (gray mouse lemur). RNAcentral describes it as "Y RNA (ENSMICG00000047338.1)". It matches the Rfam family "Y RNA". From Rfam's summary of the family: Y RNAs are components of the Ro ribonucleoprotein particle (Ro RNP), in association with Ro60 and La proteins. The Y RNAs and Ro60 and La proteins are well conserved, but the function of the Ro RNP is not known. The record is from Rfam by way of RNAcentral. Lineage: Eukaryota; Metazoa; Chordata; Mammalia; Primates; Cheirogaleidae.